GUUUUUACAAGUGCUGCAUUACAAGCGCACCGAUUGUCCUCCCCUAGAAUUUGAGUGAAUGGUAUCUUCCGUAAGAACCUGUACAUAGAGAGGGAGAGCGCGAGCGCAGCGCGAGAGAGAGGACAGCGCUCAUCGGAGGGAAUGGCGGAGACCGUUCGCUCGCUCAUUGACUACCGGGAGCCGCCGCAGCUGGACAGCAACGGAGAGAGCAGCAAACCGCCGCAGACGCGAGGACGUGGCUGUGGAAGGAAAAGGAAAGGGACACCAGUAAAGGUGUGCGACAGAGUCUUUGCUACAGAGGAUGAAGAGGAGAGCAUGUCAGAGAACAGCUAUGGACCAGAGAAAGGUGAUGGUCAUGAGGACAAACACAGAGUGUCUGCUGCUGAUGGACUGUACUAUGAAACACAAUCUGCUCAGCUCUGUGUGAGUGAGGAGGGCUCUAGCGGAGAGAGGGGGUCCGUCUCGUACCCCCCAUCACCAAACUGCCGCAUUCGUGAAGUGCACUGUGGAAAUCAAGUGCGACUGAUUGUCAUAGCGAUCCGCGACAUUCCAAAGGGGGAGGAGAUCACUGUGGAUUACAGUUUGACCGAGUGGGGAGAAAACGCUAUGGGUUUCCAUGGCACUGUGCCUCCUAGUAGCUUUGAUUGCAGCUUGGACCACGAGAGCAACAUUAAGAAGGUAAAUAUACAUUACAUUUUCAUGAAUACACUUACAGACACACCCAGUUACCAAGCAACAGUCAUUUUCAGGCCUCUUUCUGAAUAUCCUGUCCUUCUGAAAUGAUUGCUGGGCCCCUGGCCAUCAGAACCAUAAGCACCACGGCACACUAAUAUCUC
This is a long non-coding RNA of Sinocyclocheilus grahami, 836 nucleotides long. The record is from Ensembl. Lineage: Eukaryota; Metazoa; Chordata; Actinopteri; Cypriniformes; Cyprinidae.